GACGAACGCUGGCGGCGUGCUUAACACAUGCAAGUCGAACGGAAAGGCCCUGCUUUUGUGGGGUGCUCGAGUGGCGAACGGGUGAGUAACACGUGAGUAACCUGCCCUUGACUUUGGGAUAACUUCAGGAAACUGGGGCUAAUACCGGAUAGGAGCUCCUGCUGCAUGGUGGGGGUUGGAAAGUUUCGGCGGUUGGGGAUGGACUCGCGGCUUAUCAGCUUGUUGGUGGGGUAGUGGCUUACCAAGGCUUUGACGGGUAGCCGGCCUGAGAGGGUGACCGGCCACAUUGGGACUGAGAUACGGCCCAGACUCCUACGGGAGGCAGCAGUGGGAAUAUUGCACAAUGGGCGGAAGCCUGAUGCAGCAACGCCGCGUGCGGGAUGACGGCCUUCGGGUUGCAAACCGCUUUCGCCUGUGACGAAGCGUGAGUGACGGUAAUGGGUAAAGAAGCACCGGCUAACUACGUGCCAGCAGCCGCGGUGAUACGUAGGGUGCGAGCGUUGUCCGGAUUUAUUGGGCGUAAAGGGCUCGUAGGUGGUUGAUCGCGUCGGAAGUGUAAUCUUGGGGCUUAACCCUGAGCGUGCUUUCGAUACGGGUUGACUUGAGGAAGGUAGGGGAGAAUGGAAUUCCUGGUGGAGCGGUGGAAUGCGCAGAUAUCAGGAGGAACACCAGUGGCGAAGGCGGUUCUCUGGGCCUUUCCUGACGCUGAGGAGCGAAAGCGUGGGGAGCGAACAGGCUUAGAUACCCUGGUAGUCCACGCUGUAAACGGUGGGUACUAGGUGUGGGGUCCAUUCCACGGGUUCCGUGCCGUAGCUAACGCUUUAAGUACCCCGCCUGGGGAGUACGGCCGCAAGGCUAAAACUCAAAGGAAUUGACGGGGCCCCGCACAAGCGGCGGAGCAUGCGGAUUAAUUCGAUGCAACGCGUAGAACCUUACCUGGGUUUGACAUGGAUCGGGAGUGCUCAGAGACGGGUGUGCCUCUUUUGGGGUCGGUUCACAGGUGGUGCAUGGCUGUCGUCAGCUCGUGUCGUGAGAUGUUGGGUUAAGUCCCGCAACGAGCGCAACCCUUGUUCACUGUUGCCAGCACGUUAUGGUGGGGACUCAGUGGAGACCGCCGGGGUCAACUCGGAGGAAGGUGGGGAUGACGUCAAGUCAUCACGCCCCUUAUGUCCAGGGCUUCACGCAUGCUACAAUGGCUGGUACAGAGAGUGGCGAGCCUGUGAGGGUGAGCGAAUCUCGGAAAGCCGGUCUCAGUUCGGAUUGGGGUCUGCAACUCGACCUCAUGAAGUCGGAGUCGCUAGUAAUCGCAGAUCAGCAACGCUGCGGUGAAUACGUUCCCGGG
This 1342-nucleotide ribosomal RNA is filed under the name uncultured bacterium. Its description in RNAcentral is "16S ribosomal RNA". It matches the Rfam family "Bacterial small subunit ribosomal RNA", at positions 28 to 1378 of the family's 1533-position model. The record is from RNAcentral.